UGGCUGCAGUCGAGGAUCUUCGGCAAUGGGCGCAAGCCUGACCGAGCGACGCCGCGUGCGGGAUGAAGGCCUUCGGGUUGUAAACCGCUGUCGUAGAGGAGGAAAUGCAGGAGGGUUCUCCCUUCUGUUUGACCUAUUCUAGGAGGAAGUACGGGCUAAGUUCGUGCCAGCAGCCGCGGUAAGACGAACCGUACAAACGUUACUCGGAAUUACUGGGCUUAAAGGGUGCGUAGGCUGCGCGGAAAGUUGGGUGUGAAAGCCCUCGGCUCAACCGAGGAAUUGCACUCAAAACUACCGUGCUUGAGGGAGACAGAGGUAAGCGGAACUCAAGGUGGAGCGGUGAAAUGCGUUGAUAUCUUGAGGAACACCGGUGGCGAAGGCGGCUUACUGGGUCUUUUCUGACGCUGAGGCACGAAAGCUAAGGUAGCAAACGGGAUUAGAUACCCCGGUAGUCUUAGCUGUAAACGAUGAGCACUUGAUUGGAGGGUCCUCCAUAGCCUUCCAGUCGUAGCGAAAGUGUUAAGUGCUCCGCCUGGGGAGUAUGGUCGCAAGGCUGAAACUCAAAGAAAUUGACGGGGGCUCACACAA
RNAcentral lists this ribosomal RNA (588 nucleotides) under uncultured Planctomycetota bacterium. RNAcentral's name for it is "bacterial SSU rRNA". It matches the Rfam family "Bacterial small subunit ribosomal RNA", at positions 346 to 928 of the family's 1533-position model. Lineage: Bacteria; Pseudomonadati; Planctomycetota. The record is from RNAcentral.